AGAUAUGAUCCAGAGUACCACGGGACACGUGAAACGCUGUGGGAAGCAGGAGGGACCACCCUCCAAGGCUAAAUACUAACUAGUGACCGAUAGCGUAUAGUACCGUGAGGGAAAGGUGAAAAGAACCCCGGGAGGGGAGUGAAAUAGAACCUGAACCCCUGCACUUACAAGCUGUGGAAGCACAUUUCUUGUGUGACCGCGUACUUUUUGUAGAACGGGCCAACGAGUUACGUUAAGUAGCAAGGUUAAGCACUUAAGGUGCGGAGCCGUAGCGAAAGCGAGUUUUAACUGAGCGUUCAGUUACUUGACGUAGACCCGAAACCGGGCGACCUACCCAUGAGCAGGAUGAAGCGAAAGUAAAAUUUCGUGGAGGUCCGAACCCACGAGCGUUGAAAAGCUCGGGGAUGACUUGUGGGUAGCGGUGAAAUUCCAAUCGAGCCCGGAGAUAGCUGGUUCUCCCCGAAAUAGCUUUAGGGCUAGCCUCAAGGUGAGAGAUACGGAGGUAGAGCACUGAAUGUCCUAGGGGGUAUUGCACCUACCGAAG
This 544-nucleotide ribosomal RNA is filed under the name Clostridioides difficile. Its description in RNAcentral is "bacterial LSU rRNA". It matches the Rfam family "Bacterial large subunit ribosomal RNA", at positions 398 to 944 of the family's 2925-position model. Lineage: Bacteria; Bacillati; Bacillota; Clostridia; Peptostreptococcales; Peptostreptococcaceae. The record is from RNAcentral.